CCUCCUUCUUGUGAGAACCGUAAUGCCAUUAAUUUGGUGUUGCGGGGAAACAGGACUGUUACUUUGAAAAAAUUAGAGUGUUUAAAGCAGGGUAGCGCCUGAAUACAUUAGCAUGGAAUAAUGAAAUAGGACGUUCGAACCUAUUUUGUUGGUUUCUAGGAUUGACGUAAUGAUUAAUAGGGAUAGUUGGGGGCAUUAGUAUUCAAUUGUCAGAGGUGAAAUUCUUGGAUUUAUUGAAGACUGACUACUGCGAAAGCAUUUGCCAAGGAUGUUUUCAUUAAUCAAGAACGAAAGUUAGGGGAUCGAAGACGAUCAGAUACCGUCGUAGUCUUAACCAUAAACUAUGCCGACUAGGGAUCGGAUGAUGUUAAUUUUUUAAUGACUCAUUCGGCGCCUUACG
Molecule: ribosomal RNA, 400 nt
Filed under: uncultured Glomeromycotina
Lineage: Eukaryota; Fungi; Glomeromycota
Description: SSU rRNA
Rfam family: Eukaryotic small subunit ribosomal RNA
Source: RNAcentral